GGCCCCCAUGGGCUGCCGGGAGGACUUGGGCUUUGGCCCCAGGGAGGUGGGAGCCCUAGAAGGCUCUGUGUGGCAGGGACGCACUGCUUGCUCUCGAGUCCCUGCUGCAGGAGGUGGAUGGUCCAGGAGCCAGACCUGAUGGUGAGGCAGAGCCAAAGGCAGUGACCAGCAGGGAGAGGGAGGAGGCUCCUGAGAGCAAACAGCCACAUCUCCGAGAGCACUGUGUCCUGGGGUUCAUGUGUGACCACCCUGAAGACCAAGUUGGCCUGCAAGUGCCAGAAAAGGCACAGAAGAGGAGCCCCCAGGGUCUCUCCAAGUCACUCAGUCUUGCUGGGCUCAUCCGUGCGACCCUCCUGCAUCAGCCUCCCAGACGGCUAUGUGAUUCAGGCCGAUGUAGAUCCUGCUCUGUGCCUACGUUUCCACUGUCCUCAAAGGAGACCCCAAUGGCACCAAGUGGAAAAGGACUGAAGGCAAAGUCACUGUUCUGCGGACAAGGGACAGAGAUGGAAGUCGCGCAGGGAGAGAGGAAGGAAGGAGAAACAGGCCCCCCCCCAAAAAGGGACCCGGUGUGAUGGUGCACGCCGUCAUCUCAGUACUCGGGAGGCUGAGGCAGGAGGAUCACCACAAGUUUGAGGCCAGCCUGGGCUCCACAGUGAGUUCAAGGCCAG
This 668-nucleotide long non-coding RNA is filed under the name Heterocephalus glaber (naked mole-rat). RNAcentral's name for it is "lncRNA (ENSHGLG00000033859.1)". Lineage: Eukaryota; Metazoa; Chordata; Mammalia; Rodentia; Bathyergidae. The record is from RNAcentral.